RNAcentral lists this unclassified non-coding RNA (325 nucleotides) under fungal sp. Its description in RNAcentral is "partial internal transcribed spacer region". The stretch from base 1 to 46 matches the Rfam family "Eukaryotic small subunit ribosomal RNA", at positions 1786 to 1831 of the family's 1831-position model. The record is from RNAcentral. Lineage: Eukaryota; Fungi.
AAGUCGUAACAAGGUAACCGUAGGUGAACCUGCGGUUGGAUCAUUACCAAAUAUCCAACGGGCCCGCUUGCAAGAGCGAGCCCUACCCACCUCUUGUGCAACGUAACGUUUUUGGCGGGAGCUUAAGUCUAUGGAACUUGUUCUAUAGGCAACGGCCUUGCGGGGAGAUUUAAUCAUCUCUCUGACCGCCAAUAUAAAUCACACACCAUACCCUACCUAUUAAAGACCUGACGCUAACAUGUUGGCGAGCGAAAGGAUUUAAACACUUUCAAUCAAAGACUAGAAUAACGAAAAACAACUUUUGACAACGGAUCUCUUGGCUCUC